CCUACGGGAGGCAGCAGUAAGGAAUAUUGGACAAUGCUCGCAAGAGUGAUCCAGCCAUGCCGCGUGCAGGAAGAAUGCCCUAUGGGUAGUAAACUGCUUUUGAACUAGAGAAAAUCCCAGUACGUGUACUGGGCUGAUAGUAUAGUUAGAAUAAGCAUCGGCUAACUUCGUGCCAGCAGCCGCGGUAAGACGAAGGAUGCAAGCGUUAUCCGGAUUCAUUGGGUUUAAAGGGAGCGUAGGUGGACUGAUAAGUCAGUGGUGAAAUCUCCGAGCUUAACUCGGAAAUUGCCAUUGAUACUGUUGGUCUUGAGUACAGUUGCUGUGGGCGGAAUAUGACAUGUAGUGGUGAAAUACAUAGAGAUGUCAUAGAACACCGAUUGCGAAGGCAGCUCACAAAGCUGUAACUGACACUGAGGCUCGAAAGUGCGGGGAUCAAACAGGAUUAGAUACCCUGGUAGUCCGCACCGUAAACGAUGAUUACUCGCUGCUAGGGGGCAACCUUUAGUGGCUUAGCGAAAGCGAUAAGUAAUCCACCUGGGGAGUACGCCGGCAACGGUGAAACGUCAAAGUAGAGUUAGGACGGNGNGAGNGNGCGACGGACGACGAGAGGGAGGAG
RNAcentral lists this ribosomal RNA (616 nucleotides) under uncultured bacterium. RNAcentral describes it as "bacterial SSU rRNA". It matches the Rfam family "Bacterial small subunit ribosomal RNA", at positions 338 to 952 of the family's 1533-position model. The record is from RNAcentral.